ACGAACGCUGGCGGCAGGCCUAACACAUGCAAGUCGAACGCGCGUAGCAAUACGCGAGUGGCGCACGGGUGAGUAACACGUGGGAAUCAACCCUGAGGUUCGGAAUAACCGCGGGAAACUGCGGCUAAUACCGGAUGUCCCCUAUGGGGGAAAGAUUUAUCGCCUUGGGACGAGCCCGCGUCCGAUUAGCUAGUUGGUGAGGUAACGGCUCACCAAGGCUACGAUCGGUAGCUGGUCUGAGAGGAUGACCAGCCACACUGGAACUGAGAUACGGUCCAGACUCCUACGGGAGGCAGCAGUGGGAAUAUUGGGCAAUGGAGGCAACUCUGACCCAGCCAUGCCGCGUGGGUGACGAAGGUCUUCGGAUUGUAAAGCCUUUCGGCGGAGACGAUGAUGACGGUAUCCGCAGAAGAAGCCCCGGCUAACUUCGUGCCAGCAGCCGCAGUAAC
This 449-nucleotide ribosomal RNA is filed under the name uncultured bacterium. RNAcentral describes it as "bacterial SSU rRNA". It matches the Rfam family "Bacterial small subunit ribosomal RNA", at positions 29 to 524 of the family's 1533-position model. The record is from RNAcentral.